This 1557-nucleotide long non-coding RNA is filed under the name Orbicella faveolata. RNAcentral's name for it is "uncharacterized LOC110043757, transcript variant X1". The record is from RNAcentral. Lineage: Eukaryota; Metazoa; Cnidaria; Anthozoa; Scleractinia; Merulinidae.
CUCAUAGCAACGAUAAUUUCCUGUUAUUAUUAUUAUAUACAUACGAGUGUUUUACUGGAAAUGUACACCACCUGUAAAAUUCAUACGAAUUUACAUCUUGAACCGCAGUGGCGUAUUUUCCAUAUCCUUACUAGUGACGAUAUCAAUGAAGUCAUUUCGUGGCAUUACAUUGCGCAGCUGCCAAACUUUGCAAAUUAAGCGCCGAUUGAAAGAUGGCGCUCGCGACUGAUAGGGAAGUUAAAUUCACUGAAGUCGGCAUGAAAUCGUUCACUAAGGAGUACGAAAAUGCCAAAAAGUACCAAAAACGCCAAAUCAAGAAAGAAAAUUCAUGUGGCUGAAAGGUACUCAAGGAGUAUUUUCAAGUAACCAAAGGAGAGAUAUUCAAGAUAUUCCAGUCGCCGAGCUGUAAUUCACAUACGGUUUCUGUUUUCGAUUCGCUUCUGUAGUUUUUGGCUACAUAUUGAAAAGAAAAUACCAAAAACAAUAUAUUGCUCGUGGAGUAUUGUUUUGGCUACUUGAAUAUAAAAUUCAUCCAUGGAUAUCUUCUUGCCUCUAUAUACAGUACGCUUUUCCACUGUACUAAGCUACAUGUAUACCUGUAUAGCAUCGACAUAAUCCUUGGAGCUGACAAUAGUAAAAUCAUUACACAUACAAAACGCAAAAUUGCAAAAUUGCUGAACCGAUAUUCUCUCAGACUGCUGCAACAUCAAAUGGAAAAAGAAAUUACUAAGCAAUGUUAAUUAAAUAAUUUCCUUUGUUAUUUACAGACUAAUUCAGAAGUCGAAUGGAAAUUUGCACGUGCCGUUGUUGAAAACCAGUACAGAAAUCUACAUUCCAUCGUUGUGCCGUUUAACCUGCUCUCUGUUCCAAUUGAUCUAUUGUACUGCGAAUUUAACGGUGACUCUCGACAAGAGGACGCAAUUAAUCGACUGAAAGAAUACAAGACGUAUUACCGCAAACGCUUGUUUCCGAUAAUCACUGAACGCUACAGAAAGAAAUAUGGUGGAUCAUUUCCUUUGUCGAUUGAAGAAAAGAUUGACCUGAUAAUGGAAAAGUUACAAAUCUCACCUGGCUGUGAUGAAAUUGCCUUAAAGAGACAAGUGAGUAAUAUUUUGUUUUUCUUUUGAACCCUCAAAACAAAUAAAUUAUCUAGCUGUAAAACAAAAAUGAUACGUGUUAUAAGCUGAAACACUUCAUCUCGAAUUUGGAUUUAGUCUCGCUCUCGCGCAUUCGGCUCUGGAAACAUUCCUUGCGUUAUUUGCAUUUUCAGUCUAAAGGAAUUGAAAUAACUCCAGUAUUUGGACAUUAAUUGUGCCUACAGAUUAUCAUCUCCACCACCUGGAACCAACAAUUGUUCCGUUAUUAGAACCCGUAGAGUGUACCUGAUCCAUGCUCGGGUCUGCUUUAUCUUAACAGUCGAGUGUUGUUCCGAAGAUUUUAUUAUGUAAUGGCUUUUCCGAAGUAUUAUGAUGUAAUCGUAGCGCGCGCAUGCGCAGUGGGCGUAGUGGGCUCGAAGUUUUUCUUGUCUUUAUCCGCCAUGUUUGUUUUGACCUUUUG